This is a long non-coding RNA of Zingiber officinale, 614 nucleotides long. RefSeq lists it as uncharacterized. Lineage: Eukaryota; Viridiplantae; Streptophyta; Magnoliopsida; Zingiberales; Zingiberaceae. The record is from RefSeq and is a predicted model, not a curated record. The transcript has 5 exons.
UUUCAAGUUUUGUAAUUACAAGUUUUGUAAAACUUGUGUGAAUAAUACAUGAUAUUUAUUUGUUUAAAAUAUAAUGAUGUAGGAAUCAAUUUUUUAUAUGUGAUUUUCUUUCUUGGUAAUCAAAAAGUUAACUUGCAUGUUUGAUUGUUUUGGAGAUUUUUUGUCUUAAUGAGUGAUUCACCUUUGUUUAGAACCCUCCCACGCUGGCUACUCCUCUAUUUGAUACUAAAAUGGAAGAGGACCCUAAGAUGACAUACAUAGACCUAGAUAAUCUUCAAAUUGUGUUUUGAACGAAGAGUAGUGUUUGGUCUUGCAUUGUGAUGGCGUCUGAGUGUUGGCUUGGUCUCUGUUGGCUUGCUACAUAUCUAGAAAGCUCCAUGAUUUGUGCUAAGCUGAAGCGUAUCCAAUUUGGAUUUUCCAGCUCAAAAUAUCAGUAGAUUUGUUGUGGUAGUGCCUUAACAGGAUUUGAGACUUCUCCAUUCAGGAAAAGACAAGUCCGGUAGAUACAAAAAUUACAAGAUUGCAAGUUUGGAUUGAAGGUCACAAGAAAAAAAAUGGGGAGCCUAGUACUCAAGCUGUUGGAGAGAAAAUAGUGGACCUAAUUCGACCAAAUG